This 253-nucleotide ribosomal RNA is filed under the name uncultured bacterium. RNAcentral's name for it is "partial 16S ribosomal RNA". It matches the Rfam family "Bacterial small subunit ribosomal RNA", at positions 524 to 776 of the family's 1533-position model. The record is from RNAcentral.
UACGUAGGGACCAAGCGUUGUUCGGAUUUACUGGGCGUAAAGGGCGCGUAGGCGGCAAUUUAAGUCAUCUGUGAAAUCUCCGGGCUUAACUCGGAAUGGUCAGGUGAUACUGCUUUGCUAGAGUGCAGAAGGGGCAAUCGGAAUUCUUGGUGUAGCGGUGAAAUGCGUAGAUAUCAAGAGGAACACCUGAGGUGAAGACGGGUUGCUGGGCUGACACUGACGCUGAGGCGCGAAAGCUAGGGGAGCAAACGGG